ACAACGUGGUGGAGGCAUUUACAAAUAAGAUCUCUUAACCUUUCCCAUGUCUCAUGAAAAAGUUCACCAUCCAGUUAGGAAAAACUAGUGAUGGCUUUUCUAAUUUG
Elaeis guineensis (African oil palm) is the source of this 107-nucleotide small nucleolar RNA. The record is from RefSeq and is a predicted model, not a curated record. NCBI's taxonomy places the organism in Eukaryota, Viridiplantae, Streptophyta, Magnoliopsida, Arecales, Arecaceae.